GGACUACAGGGGUAUCUAAUCCUGUUCGCUCCCCUAGCUUUCGCGCCUCAGCGUCAGUAACCCUCCAGGACACUGCCUUCGCCUUUGGUAUUCCUCCGGAUAUCUACGCAUUUCACCACUCCACCCGGAAUUCUAUGUCCCUCUCUGGUCCUCAAGUCAAGCAGUUUUCAGAGGCCUUGCUCAGUUAAGCCGAGCACUGUCACUCCAAACUUACCCAACCGCCUGCGCGCCCUUUACGCCCAAUAAAUCCGGACAACGCUUGCCCCCUACGUAUUACCGCGGCUGCUGGCAC
This 292-nucleotide ribosomal RNA is filed under the name uncultured bacterium. Its description in RNAcentral is "partial 16S ribosomal RNA". The record is from RNAcentral.